AUGAAGAACGCAGCGAAAUGCGAUAAGUAAUGUGAAUUGCAGAAUUCAGUGAAUCAUCGAAUCUUUGAACGCACCUUGCGCUCCUUGGUAUUCCGAGGAGCAUGCCUGUUUGAGUGUCAUGAAAUUCUCAACCUUUUCAGCUUUCUUUGUUGAUCAGGCUUGGAUGUGGGAGUAUGCGGGCUUCUCAGAAGUCGGCUCUCCUGAAAUGCAUUAGCGGGACCUUUGUUGCCUGGCUUUGGUGUGAUAAUUAUCUACGCCAUUGUAGUCAAGCAGCUUAAAAUGAGGUUUCAGCUUCUAACCGUCUCCCCUGAGACAACUUUUUGACAAUUUGACCUCAAAUCAGGUAGGACUACCCGCUGAACUUAAGCAUAUCAAUAAGCGGAGGA
RNAcentral lists this unclassified non-coding RNA (386 nucleotides) under soil metagenome. RNAcentral describes it as "partial contains 5.8S ribosomal RNA, internal transcribed spacer 2, and large subunit ribosomal RNA". The stretch from base 1 to 119 matches the Rfam family "5.8S ribosomal RNA", at positions 36 to 154 of the family's 154-position model. The record is from RNAcentral.